This 385-nucleotide unclassified non-coding RNA is filed under the name Hevea brasiliensis (rubber tree). Lineage: Eukaryota; Viridiplantae; Streptophyta; Magnoliopsida; Malpighiales; Euphorbiaceae. The record is from RNAcentral.
AAAAUUCGGUGAACUGUUAGGUGCCUGCCUCUGUUGAUUCAAAGAGACGAAGACCAAAAUGGGUGCUUUUGUUAAGCUAUUGGACUUGCUUCUUUUCGUUUACUUCUUGUUAAUCGCCAUUGUUGCACCACUCUUUGAUGGCCAAGUUGCCCUUCCUAAACAUAUAUUUCCUCCUGUAUUGGUUAACCUAAAGAGCUGGUACACUCAACAAUAUGGUGAUUAUUUGGUAUCUGAGAAACCCCAUUUCUUUGUUGGCUUAAUCUGGUUAGAGCUCCUCUUUGCUUGGCCCCUUUCCAUCCUUAGUCUUUAUGCCAUUGCAGCUGGAAAAUCUUGGAUUAAAACUACCUCCUUGAUGUAUGGUGUUUCCACUCUCACUGCAAUGGUG